AACGAACGCUGGCGGCAGGCUUAACACAUGCAAGUCGAGCGGGCUCCUUCGGGGGUCAGCGGCGGACGGGUUAGUAACGCGUGGGAACGUGCCCUCUUCUACGGAACAGCCUCGGGAAACUGAGAUUGAUACCGUAUACGCCCAUUGGGUAACCUUUGGGGAAAGAUUUAUCGGAGGAGGAUCGGCCCGCGUCUGAUUAGGUAGUUGGUGGGGUAACGGCUCACCAAGCCGACGAUCAGUAGCUGGUUGAGAGGAUGAUCAGCAACACUGGGACUGAGACACGGCCCAGACUCCUACGGGAGGCAGCAGUGGGGAAUCUUGGACAAUGGGGGCAACCCUGAUCCAGCCAUGCCGCGUGGACGAUGAAGGCCUUAGGGUUGUAAAGUCCUUUCGCCGGGAAGAUAAUGACGGUACCCGGUAAAGAAGCCCCGGCUAACUCCGUGACAGCCGCCGCUGUAACACCUGAGACUACCAAGG
RNAcentral lists this ribosomal RNA (477 nucleotides) under uncultured bacterium. Its description in RNAcentral is "bacterial SSU rRNA". It matches the Rfam family "Bacterial small subunit ribosomal RNA", at positions 29 to 540 of the family's 1533-position model. The record is from RNAcentral.